Molecule: non-coding RNA, 17192 nt
Organism: Xyrichtys novacula (pearly razorfish)
Lineage: Eukaryota; Metazoa; Chordata; Actinopteri; Labriformes; Labridae
Source: the annotation of a GenBank genome assembly
GUGUGAGUCCACUCCACACCGUGAGAUUCAGGGGAGAAGCUCCUGGAGGCUGGAGGCCUGUAGAGGUGAGGUGAGGAGGGAGUUGUUAGAUGAAGACUGGAGGCGGCAGUCACAGCAAAUGUGUAUCAUAUCACACACAUGCACACACACACGUUGUAACUAACACAUUUCCCCCGACAGCCAUGAUGAGCCAAGGCGAUUGAAGCAGAAAAUUGUUACCUCCCUUCCUCCCCCACUUCAGCUGGAAUGGAUUUUUAUCUGAGUCACAACCUCUCCUCACAACCCCAAUAUCUGCCUUUCUCACAGUCCCCCUGUCCUCCAUGUCCACAUCCUCUCGUUUUCCCUCCACCUUCCCCCAUCCCUCUCUCUGCUUUUACCUCUUAUUGGUGGGUACGUUUGCUCCGCGAACAGCAGAGGAAACAAAGCAAGGACGGGGGAAAUGAGACGCAUGAAAAGGAGUCGAGCCUCAGCCAUGUGGCCCCUUUUCCCUCGUGAUAUCAAAGAGAGAAAAUACAGAACCAUAUUACUCUUAACUGUAUUCCCUCUCAAAUCAGAGCUCAGAAACAGAUAUGAGGAAGAAGAAGGAAGGCUGAGGGAGCAGAGAAGAGUUGAUUUGAGUCACCAGAGGGAAUAAGUGUAAAGCUGAAUUCGUUGUAAGUGAAUUUUACUUGAGGCGUUGUCAGAGAGGAGGCCUCAAACGUGGAAAAAAAAAGUCAAAGCUGGAGCCAAUCAACAUCGAGGAAAUAAGGCUGAACUUUGCUUUAAAAAGUCAAAAUCUAGCUAGUUUCUGCAGAUGUGGAAAAAUGACCGAACAGCAAUUUGGAAACUUUUUUAAAAAUUUUUAAAUUUUAACCUCCAAAUUUUUGUCAUAAUAAAUAGACUGAAGUCUUCAUCAUACACUCAUUCUCAGCUCUAUGUGUGACAAGAUAUAUAUAUAUAUUUUUUUUUAAUAACAGCAGAGAUAAUUUCGGCUUCUCUACAUUUCUCUAAUUACCUCUGCAAUAACUGAUAAUAAAAAAAAUACCUUGGGGCUGCAUUGCGUUCUGCUGCUUGCUAAUGGUAGCACAGAUGUUAUCAUGGGGUCCUAUCAGGUGAAAUUUGUCUCACACUUGAUUUGCAUAGGCACAGGUGUUAUCAUGGGGUCCUAUCAGGUGAAAUUCGUCUCGCAGUCUAUUUGCAUCGGCGCUUUCUUGCAGGACAUACAAACGGUCUCACUUUUGUUAAGGUUUUCGUCCUUCAGAAUCAAGUGGCCUGUUUCUGAGGUGGAGGACGCUGAUAGCUUUGUAAGCUAACUAACACUAACUGAUUAGGCACCGAGCUAAUGAUCUGUGAAAGGUAAAAGGUCAAAGUCAUGCAAGAGCUUUGUGUAAUCUAUGGUGCAGCAGACCGGCGCAGAUUACGAUUGAUAACUGGUUCAGCGGGUUAAUCUUCUCUAUUUAAUUCUAUACAAGUUUAUUUUCUGUUAUGAUUUCAAGUGUUUUUUAUGCUUCGAUGCAUUUUUCAGGGAGGACUUAGUUGACUCUCCUUUACCUCUGCAACAAUCUACUCGAACAUUGCAAGACUAGAAGAAAAAAAUGUUAAAUUGAAGGGAUAUUGUGGCGUAAAAUUAAGUUAGGGUAAAACACACCGUAACACCGAGUUAGAAACCCCCUUGAGAGAUGAUUGUUGCAGACCGUUGCUUCUCUAGUUAAACCAACUUUAAUAACGACCGCAGGAUAGCAAUACACAAAUGUCUAAAAACAAACCUUAACCCAAAAACACCACUCUAACUUCAGCACCUAACUUCAUCAACCAGCCACCAAACACCUUCUUAGCUUUGCCUGAUUUCUUUAGGAAGGGAGACUAAACACAACUCACCUUCUCUCUUCCAGCAGCCGCUUGUUUGUAGCGAGACUUCAGGCCAGUCCAUUACAGACUGCUGCGGGGGGACGCAUCUGCCAUCCUGCAGUUGUCAUUAAAGUUGGUAUCAUUAGAGAAACAAGCGGUCAUCAACAUUAAUCUCUCGAGGGGGUGUCUAACUCGGUGUUACGGUGUGUUUGACCCUAACUUAAAUUUACACCAGAAUAUCCCUUUAACUCAGAAAGCCCAGUCUGAAUCCAAAAUUCAGCUAAAGGUUGAAAAUAAAACAGUCAAACGAAAAGUUGAUUUCAACCCUGACACUCACUGACUUGUUGACCUUUUGACUAAAGUUCCUUCCACCUCCUACUCACCUCUAAAACUGCAGCACAAAAAGUUCCUGUUUUAGAAGUUCCUCAGAGUCAGUUUUUUGCUUACUUCGUGACUUUACUCUCAUGUGGGGAUUUGUGCAUAUAUAGCGACUAUUUUUCUUACGCCCUGCUUUAAUGUUCGGCCUUUAUCUGAGUUUCUUUCAGAUAAAGCAGCAGCGCUCAUGGGUACAGGGGAAAAGCUCCUUUUUUUAGCUAUGUUUUGCUCCUCUAAGCAUCCACCAUCAAUAACACAUGGUUUUCUGGGGCUUUGGAUAAUUGUUGGUAUUCAUCAUCAUUGCUGGAAAAUAACAUUAACAAAGCAGCAAGUGGAUGGAAAUCCUAUUCAAAUGUGAACUGCAGGGUGACACUGGUGUUUGGCUUUGGAUAAAAAGGAAUUAUGCUGCAAGUAUAAAGAGAUACAGAUUCACUUACAAGCAGUUUAUCAUCAUUUACUCCACAGUUUUCCUCAAUCUUUGUAGCUUAACUUUUACCCAAGAGACUCAGAACUUACAGGAUCCAAAGGUCAUGAAACAGGACUAUUGAUUAUGAAAAAAUUGAACCUCCAGCUUUGCUUUCAGACGAUCGCUUGAGGACACUCACAGCUGACAUUUUGCCUUGUCCAUUUAAGAAACAAAUACAAACACAGGUUUUACAACGGGUUAUCCACCCCUGUAAUGGUUACCGUGAUGCUGGCCUUCGACUAAACAACACAUUUUGUUAAAGUUGGCAUUAAACAAGAAUUUAGCUGAAGCUUGUCUCUUCCUCCAUCCUCCUACCCUUAGCGGUAGCCCUAAAACCUAGUUCCAGCUGUCUGUAGUCAAAAACAAGAUAUUCCCCUAAAGCAUUCCUUCAACCAAAUAACUGAGUGAUCAGGAUUGAGAUUUUGGGUUGAGAUUUUCAUUAUGCUUAUUUUCUCAUACUGUUGCAAAAACAUUUCAACAGAGUUAGACUUUAUGUUAGUUUCUGCUUUGUUCUGUUUACUUGAAGUUAUUCGUCAUUUGCUGGACAGAGAGUGUAACUGUGAGCAAUGUUUUUUGGAAGUGGUCUUGAGCUUCGUUUGGACGGCCAGAUGAAAUUACACCAUUGCAUAAUACUCUGCAAUUGAAUAGUUGGACUGUUUUUUUACGGUCUUUCGUAGAGUGAUAAACCCCCUCCCAUCUUUAAUACUCAACAGUUCAGACUCAAUGGAAUAAACCUAUUUUACCAAGUCAUGUCACUCACCUGUUAAAGAUUAACCUUUGCAUAAAUAGUCAGGUUUUUUUUUGUUUGUUUUUUUGUCCAAAAUUGUUGCGACUUUAAAAUAAUUAUAAUGUCAUGUUGUGUCUGUCAUACUUGUACACAGACUCUGGUGCUUAAAGGCAUGGUUGAUGAUUGGAGAUAUUGGUAAUUAUUAUGAACUUCGUUUAAAUGGCGAUCAUGGUCCUAUAGUGCGAUCUCCACAAAGUGAAGAGAAAAAAGAAUGGAAAAAAUCCAUUCACCCUAGCAGGUGCAAAAACAUUGACCAAUGGGAGCCAUUUGUCCCGGGCAGCUCUAUUGGUCGAUCUCCUGCUCCACCUCUCCAUCCAAUCACCUCGCCAGAGAAACCAAAACAGGUUCAUAUGAUCAAUAAACCUUCAAACUGACUGUUGAGGUGAAUUUAAGAGACCAACCUCAGAAAAAUACAGUUGAAUUUAUGGUAAAAUGUUGUUGAGGUCUCAUUAGGCCUCUCGGUUACUCAGCCGUGAAUCCUCAGUUCGCCACUUCAAAAGUUCAUCAGCUGGUUUUAUUGAUCGUUCGGUUACGACGGUGUAGGGCCCACACAAGCUCUCGCCGGCCUCCAGUUAAAUCAUGCUGAAGCCUUCCCUGUCUCUCUAAUUCCGUAGCAGGGACAGAGAGUAAGUGGAGUGAACUGACCAGGGACCUUUAAAAUACAUCACAUCUACUGCUAUCUGAUGACACAUAAAAAAGGACGGCAGUGAGUAUAAAUGUCAAGAGCACAGGAAGAACUGGACAGAAUGGUUGUGUUUCAAUUCUAUUUCUGUUCUGUUCGUUUUUCUGCAGCUUUCUCUACUUACUGCUGAUUUUCUUAGUUUGUCGUUGGUUGUCCAAAAAGGAUACCAGGAGUGUUAGCCAAGUGUACAAUGUUGAUUAUGUGAGCUGUCCACACAAGGACACUUAUCUCAUCUUUAGAAAUGUAGUCCUCUCAGAAAGUAUUCUGUGUUUGACUCCAAACUCAAGCACAAUCCACUUUCUUGUUUGUUUCAACCCUCUGUAUUUCCUGUCCAAAAUUUAAGGCUCUGAAAACUCUUGGAGCACCCCCAAGAAUUAGGCCGUCCUUGUAAAACUCAAGUUUGAACGGUUGUAAAGAUGCCGGAGAGGUUUAUAACUUCAGAUAGUCACUGUUCUCACCAGGAAUAAAAUACCCAACAACUUUAGAAGUCACAGAAAAUGUCCUGUAAAGUCAGCCCCAGCUUCAGGUCAUGCAAAGGUCUCCUCCCUGUGGCAGCCGUGGAAGCACUGUGACCUUGUCAUAUCCUGCUGAAACCCCUGGGGAGGUGAGUGAUUCGGUUGAAUGGUGGGACCUACAAAGGGUGUUGCUCUGACCUUAGUGACUCUUGGACCCUCGCUGACUCCAAACAAAUGUCAGCCCUGUUUUUUUCAACCUUGAGGGAUGUUGUUUUCUGACUGAAUUUAACAAGACAUGAGUCAGAUAGGAAGGGAAUACGAAUCACACCGAUAUCUGUUUUAUUCAGAAUAGUUGUAUGUAAAUUUUUCUUCCUGUUAUGGCAGCUGGGUCAGCAGAGCUGCACGUCUGAAUAGCAAAAAAUCAAUCACAACCUUGAUUUAGGCUGACAGACCAAGUGUCAGCUCAGUGAGGAUGAAUAAGCAUCAUUGAUUUUGAUUAUCAUAAUAGAGCCCAGUGACAAAUAUUGCAAAUACAAGAGUUUUGGAAAUGCAGAGGUUUUAUUUUAUUCUAUUUUUUAAAGUUUGCUUUAUCAUGAACCUUAAAAGAAAACUCCCAGUCUGACAAGUAUUCACAGUGUAAACAUUGAAAAUAUUUAGAUUAUUUAAUUUAUGUUUAGAUAUUUAGAAAUAGACAUGAAGUAUAAAGGGAGAAAAGUUUUAUAAAAGAAUUUCUGAGCGCCCUCAACUUGUAUCUUUGAGUUUGUUGUGGAAUAAGCAGUUCAAUACCAUAAAACGGGCAGGGUGACCCCAUCAGCACAGAUGCCUCCUAGUUCUACAGUACAGGCCAGUGAAUCAAGAAAGAUGAACGGAGCUAUUGAAUUUCUCCUCAAUGCGUUUCCUCACAACACCUCUGUCUUUUCAUCCAGAAAGAGCUCCAUUACCACGUCAGUGUAUUGACCUCUGCAGAGAAAACAGACAACCAUUUAGCAUCCCUUAGUAUGGGCAAGGGUGAAUCAAUGGACCGAGCUUGCAUGCUAAAGUUAGCGGGGUUUCUGUUCGCCCUGUCUCCUGAAAAUGUACUUUUCAAUUCAUCUGGGGCUGUAUUUUGCAUCUGAAUGUGACUUUUUUGCCCCAAAAUAUACAAUAAUGCGACCGUGUCCAUCGACUAUAAGCUACAGAAAAGUACUAAAAGUCAAAAACGAAUGGGCUCUAUACAUAGGGGCCUCUGCCAUCAGUGUAUAAAUGUGGUGUGAAUGGGUGAAUGUCACAUGUAAUGUCAUACUUCAUUUAUCAUUUGGCGUAUAUGAAACUCAUGGACCAGGUAGGGUAUGCCUGUGCUGUGUUACCUAAUGGCUCUUAACCUAAGAUUCAAAAAAAUAAAUAAUACAUUAAGCAGGCACUAAAAGCAGAUUUUGAUCCAAUUACACAUUCCUCUGUAUUAGCUCCAACAUCGUUGACAUUCCCCGAAUUCUGAUACCAUUAUUUGUAAUGCAUGAAUCCGGUAGACCCAAUCUGCAGCGGGCAUAAAGAUGUAUGAGCACAAAAGUGUUAUUACUAACUGAGACGUAGGCGAUUGCUUAAGCUACAGGCCCGUCCUGGGUGCAUCUACACCCUGGUACUGUGGGCCCCUCUUCAGGAAAGCACCGCCUCUUCACUGUGUCUCUGUUUCCACUAUCAUCUUAGCGGGUGGAUUGGAUUUGUCUGAGAUUGUCCCGGAGAAACACUAAAUAAAAAUAAGUUUGAGGGAUCAUUGUUGUUGCCGAUGCCUGUCAGUGAGCACGCAGGAUGACAGAAGAGGUUAUGCUAUGAGAGGAGCGAUGCAUUGUGGCUGAAUGUUAAAUUCCCCAUAAAUUGAUGAUUUUCUCUCUCUGGCCUCUGCAAUGACACGAUUUCCCUGCAGGGAUUAAUGAUGUUUUUUCUUAUCUCAUACCCACACGCACAGCAAUACAGUAUAAACACAACCUGUCACAAUGAGGAUUCAUUUUCAGGAACACACACACAAACACACACAUAGAAGACUGUAAAACCGUAUUAAUGCACAAAUCAAAACACUGACUUCUCAUCUGUAAAGAUGCUGUUUCAGUACUGUGAGCCGCCUCAUGAUGCAGUUACCCUCCAGCUUAAAGGCAGGCAGUUCGAUAUAAACACCAUGGUGUAAACGUCAUGUGAACACUACAAAUGAGAUGUCUCUAGCAGUAGAGAACGGGAACGCAGCUGGAUGACAAUAUACGAGCGGUGCAGAACAAAGGCAGCAAACGUGAAAUAUGCAGCAAUCUAAAAAAAGCACAUUAGUUUAUUAUCCCACUGUUGCUCCCAAUGUGAAUUUAGUGGAAAAAAAAUACAACACACUCAGUUAAGCUAAUGCUAAUGCACAUAGAUGCAAAGUGAUACAUAUAAACAUAACCAUACAUUUAAAACACAGUACAGAAAAACCCACUGCAUGUUAGUCCUCAGGGAAAUGAGUUUUAGCGCAAAAGUAAUUUAAACUUUGUUUGUAUAAAAAGAUUAUAUCUGCAAAUGCAAUGUUGAAUAAUGUAAAAUACUGCUGAUUAGUAAAGCUUAUAAAGGAGGUUUGAUUAAGACAUGAAAGGGAUUAAGUGUUAGAAGAUAAGCAGAAACAAAUAGGAUGAAAAAAGCAACACUUUCUUUUUUUUUUAACUAGUAAUCACAGACUGUGACAACUCUUGAAGCACUUAUCCUGUUUUUUUGACCUUGAGUGAAAAAUAAAUGAGUUCAAACUUUUUAAAUGAUCAAAAUUUACCUUUAGAGAAUUAAAAAAAAUGGUUGCAUAUGUGAAAGAGUAUACAAGUGCUCCUACAUGAUGAAUUAAAAAAUAAAAAAUUUAAUAUUUUUAUGCUUUUAACCAAGGACCUUUUGAUUGUCAGUGUCAUCUUCAACAGACUGCAUAAUACAACCAAAAAGAUAUUUUAUUUAAUGAAAGACCUACGCUCAUUUUUCAGGUCCUCGUUUCCUUAUCUCUUAUCAUUAAAGAUCCAGAGAUGAUAGAAAACUGACAAGGCCAAAAACAGACGGCCUGAUCACUGCAUUAGAAAACAGACCUGACUCUGUCGUGGAAAUCACUGCAUGGGCUCAGGUUCACCAAAAACCAUGGAGAGUGAAUCCAGCUUGCCAUUGCAUCUAUGAAAGCAGGUUAAAACUGCGCCAUACAAAAAUGAAACUGUGCCAUCAUUUCAGAUAGGCUAAGAGAUGAAGAGGUUUCCUUCUGGAAAUCAUGGAUGUAUUGUUAUCAGCACAGAGUUGAGAAACCAACAUCCCCGAUCAUAUGGUGAUGCAUUAGUGCUUUUGGGAUAGAUGUCUUGCAAACUGCUCUUGGGCAACAUAUACCCAGACAAAGCCAUUUUCAGGAAAACCUUCACACUGCCAAAACCGAUCUGUUUAUUUUACAACAACAUACAACGACUCUGUAGUGGAGGAGUCCCUGUGCAGCACAGCUUCUUUACUGACUCUCUUUGACUGAAUCUUCCAGUCCUCUGGGUAGUUUCUUUUUCUUCUUUUUCUUUACGUUUGAAGCUUCAUUGUUUUUCAUUUUACUUUUUUCUUGGUAACUGAAGAAGCUUAGUGAAAAACCAGCUGGAGUGCACUCCCAUUGUGUAACAUCCAUAAACCAAAAACUGGCGCUUGGUUUUCAUCACUUUUGUCUUCACUCAUUUGAAAUAACCAGGGCCUAAAAUCUUAAACUCACAUGCUGACAUUUCUAAAUUUUAGAUUCAUUCUUGAAGUGGCGCAAACUCAGACCAGCGACUCUGCGUACAGUAGACUACAGUACACCUGAGCGCCCUCCUCUCUUCUCUGUGUCUCUGAUUCGUCCCCACCGGCUGCCUCAGGAGAGCAGCUAACUCUGUCUGCUCCUGUUUUAUACAUAACCAGCAGGCUAAUCUAAUUACUCUGUGAUGGAGAGCAGUCAAUUUCACAGUCAGCCAGACACUUCUGCUGCCUAAAAAUUGGGGCCACCCAAGUUUGAUAUAUGAGGCAAUAACCUGUAAUGUAAUGAAGUCACCUUCAGACCAAGACCCCUGUCAUUGAAAUAAUAAUGAAUUAUAACAAGUAUAACAGUAUUUGGGUUUGACACGCUGAGACUCUCUCCUGUCCUGCUGCCUCUAUCUCUCUCCUCCGUACUUUGUCUUCUAUUCUGUGUAAAAUGGGGUUUUUCCUUUUUUUAAAGUUGUAAUAUUAAGGUGACUUUAAAGUUCAUGGACCAGCUUGUCAAAUAGGCAGUUUGGGCUUAAAACAGAAGACGUAUGCUGAGAGGGGAAGUGUCAGACACCUCCAAGACUCAUAGUUCAGUCUAAUUUACUUAAGCGGGAGGCAAGGCCAUAAAAAUCAAAUAUUGGUCCUGUCAUUGUAAUAUUAAAGUCAUAUUUAAAGGGAUGGGUUCAGUAGCUUUAUGUCUUGGCAAAACGGCUCUUUAUGCUUUGCAGGAGUACAGAGGAAUUGGUGAAUUCAUAUGGUUCGGCUGAAAUACUGUACGACUGAUGUUAUGAUGGGACGAUUUCUUAACUUUAUAAGUCCUAAAGAUUCUAAAGAUAAAAUAACAUUCAACACAUUACGAAAGAAAAAAAAGAGUUUUCAUUCUGUCGAGUUAUCUCAAAUAAAGACAGUAUUCAAGGUUGACAAAAAUUGUUUUUUCAAUUGGGGCCAAUACCAGUAAUGAUUAUUAGUAAUUCAUGAGACAGUUGCUGAUAUGUUGAUGCCAAUAUGCACAGAGAGUAAAAAUGAAAAACUAUCUGUAAAUCUCAGAGCUUAAGUACAAUGGUGUCACACCUAGCCAAUCAGAUAGUGUUGUUGGCGGGACAUGAGGUACGAAAAAUUGGUUUUAACAGACCCAGUGGAGCUAAAUCAGCGCAUCUCUUCAUCAAGAAGUCUGAUAUAUUGACCUGUUUUCUUAAAAACAACCAUCUGUGAAAACAUGUUUACUGACAUGAUGACUCAUACUGAUCUGUUUCAGGUGCCCAGGAGGAAUUUUGUAGUUAUUUUGUCACAUGGCAGAGUUGAAGAACAAAAAAAGGACCCGAAUGCAGAACAAAAAAUGACCUAAACAAAAAAGAGAGAAAUAAAAAGAAAAAAAAAAAACUUACUUCCAAAGAAAACAAGAAGCAAAAUACAAACAAAAGACACGCACACACAUCGACUUACAAUGAACAAACAAGAACAGAGGGGAAGACAGAGACUAUAUACACACUGGGAAACGAGCAACAGGUGAGGCAGAUGAGACACAGGUGAAACUGAGACUAGAAACACAAGGAAUCCACUACUACAAAAUAAAAUGGGAAACACUGAGAAGUGAUCUAAAGAAUGACACUAAGAACAGGAGGGAAACAGGGUCAAACACAAACUGAAAACUCACAAGACAGGAUCACAGGAACAAUAGGGAACAGAAACACGAGGGAAAAACACCAAGAAAAUACACUUAAACAACAAAAGCAGGGAAAAACUAAAUGAACAGAAAACAACAUGACAGAUUUGACUCUAAUUUAGGAGAGAGGAAGGACGCUUGUUUUCAGAUACAUGUCACCUCUAUCCAGUUUUGUAUGCAAUCAUGCAACUCUAGUACUAUUUGGUGUAAUUGGUAGUCCAGUUAAUAGUUGAUAGGGUUUGUCAAAUCCGGUCCAGGGGUCUAUAUUCUCGAGCAGGUUGUUUGGAAAGUUAUGAUGAUGAGUUUGCAGCUGUGGAAGGUUGUUUAUACUAAAUCAUCACAUUCUUGUCUUUUCAUGUCUGAGCUCUGGACUCAAGUACAAGACUGGGAGGUAUUAUUGAGAUCCAUGGUUGUUCCCCCAUUGAGAUAAAACCUUGAAGACGAAUGGCAGACAUUUGUUUCUUUUAGGCCCUGAAGUCUUUGAGGAAAAAAAAAGCUCCUUUUAAUAUUUUGUAAAUCAUGAGCUAUCUUAAAUUCCACUCAGAAAAGCUGAGAGCCAUGGUUUUAAUACUUUAACAAGUCAACUCAUAAUAAAGUAAAAAGUUCUCCACGCUCAGGGAAACACUGACAGUUAUCAAUAUUUAACAAAACAUCUGCAUAAGUGACUGAUAACCUUGUUAGAGAACAAAACACUGAAUAUUUGACCCCCAAAGUGCCAGGUGUGUCCACCUGCCUGCCGUCCUGUGUGAGUCCUGCAUCACACGCGAAGAGAAAGAAUAAUGUUGUGUGUAAUGUGACCAUGGAGUGUAGUUAGAAGGCACGAGGUUUUCAUUCACCAGCAGCGAUGCCCCACAGUGACUCUCCACAAGGUCAUUGCUUUAUUCAGUCCAGACACAGAGAACAGCCUUGUGAGUUCCCUAAACCCCUCCAGCACCAAGGCGGAUCACACAGAAACAGACGGCUGCCUCUGUGCUGAUGUGUGUGAGUAACUUUUGAACAUUGUUUGUCCAGAGCCUUCAGUCAAGCUUAUCGCCAAGAUGUUGUCCACCUGCAGACAUGUACGGUGUACUUCUUUCUGCUGUCACGCAUGCAGCACCAUGUGUGGAUCACAUGCAUGUUUAGCAGGAGAUUCUUGUGCAGCAAUUCAUUUGGAUUCACAUUCAUCUCUCAUCAUAAGUUUUCACAAUCAAUUGGUGAUAAGAAGGAUUUCCUGCACAGUAAACACAGAAUGACGGGGGAUGUCCGUUUCGCAAAGACCCGAAGUGUCAUACAGUACAGGCCAAAAGUUUGGACACACUUUCUCAUUCAAUGUCUUUUCUUUAUUUUUUUAUAUGAAUAUUUACAUUGUAGAUUAUCACUGAAGGCAUUAAAACUAUGAAUGGACACAUGUAGAAUUUUGUACUUAUAAAAAAAGUGUGAAAUAACCGAAAACAUGUUUUAUAUUCUAGUUUCUUUAAAAUAGCCACGCUUUGCUCUUGAUGACAGAAGUACCUUGUCAGGGUUACUUCAGGCACUCCUGUGAAGUAAAAACCAUUUCAGGUGACUACCUAAUGAAGCUCAUUGAGAGAACAGCUAAAGUUUGCAGCGCUAUCAAAAAAGCAAAGAGUGGCUACUUUGAGAAAUCUAAAAUAUAAAACAUGUUUUCAGUUAUUUCACACUUUUUUCUUAAGCACAUGAUUCCACAUGUGUUCAUUCAUAGUUUUGAGAAUCUACAAUUUAAAUAGUAACGAAAACAAAGAAAAUGCAUUGAAAGAGAGGGUGUGUCCAAACUUUUGGCCUGUACUGUAUGUUGCGUUCCAGUUGCCUCGGAAGUUGGAUGUCGGAGCCGGGAAUAAUGUUACACCCGAGUUGAUGGAGUUCUAGUUAACAAACAAGAUGGACGCCUACAGUUAGUCGUUGUUAGCUGUUGUUUACAAUCGUCAGCUGUCGUUAGCCCUUGUCAGUUGUUGUUUGUAGUUGUUAGUUAUACCAGUUGUAAACAACACCUAACACAGUAUUUUACUCUUACAAACACCACAGCACCGUGUUCACAGUUAGACAUUGGGCAGAACAACAUACACCACUUAUUUAAUUUCACAAAAACAAAACAGAAGAUCUCAUAAAUAAUACAUUGCGACAGCUUUCACUGUUACUCUUCACUAUUGAUGCAUUGCGCUGCCAUCUUGUCGGAAAUUGGAAAUCUGACUGGUCGGAAGUCGGAAAUCUGACUUCAGGGGGGCGUUCCAGAUGAAUUUUAGACUCAGAGUUUGAAAUUCCCACUUCCGAGUACAACCAGAACGUAGCAUUAAUCUCUUCCUGGACCUGUGCAAGUACAGAGCAACCAGAAAGUUUACAUGAUUUAAAAAAAAUCUAUUAUUGAAGUCGUCUGACCGUAGCUGGACUAGUUUGUUCUGCCGUUGUUGACGGCAAGAUUGUUGAUGCAUGCAAACAGAAGUCUGAAUACACGGAAUGUAACUUCCUAAAGUUGGACUAACAUGCCUAGAUGAUACAGCUGGGGUUGAUUUCCUCCUGCAUUUAUGGGCUUUAGUCUGUCUCAAACCGUCCUGAGUGUUCUGUAUAUGCUCCAUCGUUUGAGUAUCCAAGAUAACAUAAAUGCAUCGCCAGGAAGUCGGGUAUUAGACAUAAGAAUAAGAAAGGCUGUAAAAAAGACAAAGCUGUUUUUGAUUGGAAAUGGACACAUGAGCUGGAAAAAGGCAUGAGAGAGGCUAACACACGAUUUCCACAAGAUCCAUGUUUGAUCUGCCUCUACUCUGAUUGACUAAAGUGGAAACCCUGGCAAAGCGGGGACGGACUGAUCAUGUAUCUGGUGUAAUUUAGAGGCCGGAUAUUGUGAAUGCUCAGACUGUGGCUUUCAAAUCUGACAAGUAGAAGCGUUGCAGUUUCACCGUGUCAUGAAAUAAAAGAGGAGGAUUGGUGACCGGCCAACAAAAACAAUAUUCACAGAGGGAUGGGUAAACUGCCCCUCUCAGGGAUACCAAAGACGGCUUUAAACCUUGACCAUGAACCCUUAAAUCCAUCACACAAAUGAUAUUAUUCUGUGAUGGAAGAAAUAUUCUCCACAUCUCUGUAAAUGCUGCAAGACAUGAAAUUGAAUAAAAGACAUAAAAACUUGAACUUAAAACAUAUUCAGAGUAAACACGAUGUAAGCUUUUAGUGAUACUGGGUUGAAGAGGGCAAUAGUGACUCUGCGUACACCAACAAACUGGAGGUUUUUACUUCUCUCUCUGUGUUAAAUCAGAUAUCCCACCAGGUUCAGCAGCAGAUAAGAUACCAGAGGCAAACUUCUUACCUGGGCUUUCUGUUGGCUGUGUUUGCGCUCAGAUCCGGGACCUCUGGGGAGCUCCUCUCUGCCUCUCUAGAAACCGGCUCAGAAAUAGUUUAGCAUUUUGAAAUUCUAGUGUGUGGGAAAACGCGAGUAAAUAAAAUAAAUAAUUGAUAUUUUCACUUUUGUUGAAGAGCCCUUGGGGCAAUGCGUUUAGCUGCCAACUUUUCAGCAGAUACCAGGUAACAGUCAGAGUUUCCCUGGUCUGAAAAGUUCACAUAUGCGGAUAUGAGGCAGGUGUUACUGAGAGGAUCUGACAUUCCCCUGAUAAAUAAAGGCUGAAAUCUGUGUGGGUACCCUUUGUGAUACAUGUUUGUGUGAUACAUGUUAGUGUGUGUGCAGCCCUACUGAUGGGUGAUAUAUGAGCCAUGUGAACUGGCUGUUUGCUCUGCAGCUCAGACUGCCAGGCUUGUCAAAACGAAUGAGAGAUCUGUCUGUGAGAAACCCCCGUGUUGGCCUCUGCUCUGCUCUCUGCUGCCCUGAUCCACCUUCAUCUUCUCUGCAGCAGGACAGGAAGAACCUUAUUGAAGAGGGAUGUAUGGUGCAGUUUUCUGAGCACAGCAUGAGGCUUCAGGGUAUCAGAUAGCAGGGGUUCUAUUGUGGUGUGCAGGAGAAGUUCCCAGCUCCUAUUUGUAUGGGAACUUGGGUUUUGGUCAUGCUGUCUUUGUGAGUUUUUAGUUUUUGGGGCAAGAUAUCAAAAUAUAGUGUCCCUGUUAGGGAAAUACUGUCUUAUAUAUCUGAUAAUAUAACAGUACAUUGUAGCAACUUACAGUGAAAUCCACUCACUUUGUGAGAGCGGCAUUUUUUGGCAAUAAACAUUGCAUUUCUGUUGCAGAUUGGUGUAUUUCCAGAGACUGUCCAGAUAUAAUCUCUCAAUAAUUAAGGUAAUAUGUCAGGAUUAAUGAAUUAAAUACAGUACUAAAGAGCAAUUCCUGUUGUGAGAUGUCUAAUCCGCCAAAUUCAUAACCUUAAUAUCUUCAAAAAGAACCUGUAAGUACAAUGUGUGGCGAUAGAGAAACAAGCUAUUCAGGCCCAAAACCUUCUUUUUUGUAUCAGGCAAAAAUGGACCAUUUUGUGAAAGGGUGUGUAUGUGGUUUUUGGUUCUCCUGGAGGCAGCCUCUAGUGGACACUUAAGGAACUGCAGUUUUUUUUUUUUUGUUUUUUUUUUCCACUUCCAUAUCUGCCUCUCUUCUCAAAUCUGGAGGUUGCUGCUCGGUUGCCAAUCCUCGUUACAUUUAGUGUAAUGUGAAAGAAAUAAGGCAACCUAAGAACAAGACGGUGAAAAUCUCAAAAUAAAAGCAUGACAGACGAUUAUAUAUAAGGCGAUUUUGUAUCUGUGGAAGUUUCUGUAAGAGAGCUGGUCACAUAAAUAAAUCAUAAGUGUAAGCAUUAUUAAAAAUGGAUGAUAGCAUGUUAUUAAGUUUGUAAAGUUACAGUAGUAUUGUGCCACUUAACCCUUUUCUUGCAUCUCUUGAAUUUAAAUAUCAGCGUUGUUGUUUUUAUCUAAUUUUGCGCAGUAAUAUUGUUAGCAUGAGUAUUUGGUCAACUUAAAGUGUCGGCCCAGCUUUAAAAAACUGAGACAACUUUUUACAGUGAUUGUUGACCUUGUUUGUAUUUUAUGGAUUUUUAUCAACUUGUCGCUAGUUUUACUUACAAUAUUUCAUGGUUGCACUUUUUUUCUUACCACUCUUUCUUUCUUUGUACCACAACCGCAGCAACUCCAACUUUCCUCAGGAUGAAUAAGGUUGGUUCUUAUCUAUAAUUCAUAACGUUUGAAGGCUUCACAGCGAACAUAGAGCUGGUGUUUGAGCUGCUGCAGGUGGUUUUGAGUUUUGGGUCAGUUGAAAGAGCUGGGGAGCAUCAGCAGGGGGGCAUCAGAACCACACAGUGAGACACGGGAGUCCUGCGCUCUGUCUGGAUGAAUGCUCGACAUCACAAGGAGAAGGUGUGGUCCACUAUGAUAAACCCCGGAGCGCAAACACACACACACAGGAUUAUAACUCCAUCUCUGGAGUGUGUGUGUGUGUGUGCACUUUACCAAAACAUAUCUCAGAGGGAGAAGAGCCGCAGAAUAAAGUAAUCCCAUCGGUGGGGUGGGUGGAGUCAAAUAAGCGGAAUAAUUCCCCGGUGGGAUCUUGUGUUUUAUCAAAGGAAGCAGACAGAUUACCCACCGCUGCUUAGCCGAGCUGUUCUUUGGUAAAACAUUGAUCAAUAUGCUGAUUGUUUUUUCCACACUUAAAUAGUGAACUGUGCUAAAUGCCUCACAGUGUGCCUCCAAUUAAAAAUGCAGAAUAUUGAUGCGUUUAAUGGGUAAUUAGUCGGCACAUUUCCCAGUACAUGGAAACAGAGCAGACCGAGCCAGCUGUGAUCAUAAAUGAACUUAAUUCAUUGACCUAGACUAUUUAAAAAUAGUUUCCUGUGCUAUUUUUACAAUCCACUACGUCACCAAGGAUAUUCUUUUGUAUGACGGGGGCUAAAAGUGGCCAAAAUUCUUGGAUUUGUUCUUGCUGUGGCCAUUUUUUUGGCUUUGGUUGGAAUUAAGUCCAAGUUUAAAUGACAAAAGUAGUAUUCUUACAUUGAGAGCUGGAAAUGUGUAAUUUAAAUUCAUGAUAUGUUGUAGCGUUUGGAAAAGAAAUAAUUUGGCCGACAAGUGAGUCAAUAUCACAGAAUCUAAUUGACUGCAUUAAUUAGCUGAGUUUCUACAUUUCUGUGCAAUUAAAAAUCCUGUUUCCUGGCACUUAUCCCCGUCAUUAAUUUUCUCUCUGAUUGAUCUCGGUGAAAUAACAAAUCCUUAAUGAUUUUGUGGCAAAGUUUAUUAUGUCAACACUUUUUUUGUAAAUAUAAUUUGCUCAGUAUUUAUCAGCGUCAGGGAUUGCUUUCUUGAUUUAAUAGCUUUUUUUUUUACACUCCAAAGACUCCAGUUGCAGCAGAAAAGCAGCCCCUUCGGUCCGCCCCAGUAACAGGUUGGUUUGAGAUGGAAAGGUACUUGAAGUGGACAAGUGUUUUGGUGUGGAUUGAUGAAGAACAAUUAUAUGGUUUCAAAUGAACACUCUGGUGAUUGAACUAGAGGGCUUGGUUGGUGAAAAAAUCUAUUCUUCCCCAUCGAUGUGAAAUUUUGUGCCAAUUUCAUUCCCACUGGUCCGAGACCUUGGGAAAAUAAAUUUGUUGGUAUCUCUUCAACGCCUUCCUUUACUUUACUGAGAUGUUUAAUAAUUUCCCUUUGGAGUCCAGGAGGCUACAAUCGUCUUCCUCACAAGAAAGAAAAUGAGCACCGGCUUGUUUUGUCCAUUGUGCACAUUUACUAACAGCAAAGGAAACAGUUUGACCAGCAGUCUGUAUCUCAGCAGUGUGUUUAAAGAGCUUAAUAAGAGCCUGUUAUCUGUGUCGUGUUCUUAUCAGUCUGUCUCGUUUCAUUUUGAUGUUUAAUUAACUCUAGAAAGAGUGUGCUUGUUGUACGUGUGGCCGUCUCUAAUAAAAGGCCCAUUUUGGAUGUUUAUUUUCUGUUUUGAAUCUUUAUCAUCAUGAUAGAUGAGCAGUCGCUCCACAGACAGCCGUCUUUGCUUUGCUUCAAUAGGGAAGUGACCCGACUUUAACUGUUGCUGGUUCUGAUGAAACGGUUUCCAUGAACCCAGCUGAGCUUCUGCAGAUGUUUGUGUGCUUUUCCAGUUAAAGCCCAACUGAGCAAAGCGUCAUGAGUUAUCAGAGGUAAGUGAGCGAUGCACAGACAGCAGCGAUGCCCCUCUGUAAAGCCUCUCUUUGAUGUUUUUUCACUGUGUCUAGCGCCAUGAGGGCUUUGGACACGCGGCCUGGAAACCAACUGUGUCUGUGCCAUUAUUUUGUUCUAUGGAUCAAAGACCAAAUAAUGGAGCCGUGUAGCCACCUGCUGCUCGCCAUAACUUUUCUG